AGUGAACGCUGGCGGUAGGCCUAACACAUGCAAGUCGAACGGCAGCACAGUAAGAGCUUGCUCUUACGGGUGGCGAGUGGCGGACGGGUGAGGAAUACAUCGGAAUCUACUUUUUCGUGGGGGAUAACGUAGGGAAACUUACGCUAAUACCGCAUACGACCUACGGGUGAAAGCAGGGGAUCUUCGGACCUUGCGCGAUUGAAUGAGCCGAUGUCGGAUUAGCUAGUUGGCGGGGUAAAGGCCCACCAAGGCGACGAUCCGUAGCUGGUCUGAGAGGAUGAUCAGCCACACUGGGACUGAGACACGGUCCAGACUCCUACGGGAGGCAGCAGUGGGGAAUAUUGGAGAAUGGGCGCAAGCCUGAUCCAGCCGUACCGCGUGGGUGAAGAAGGCCUUCGGGUUGUAAAGCCCUUUUGUUGGGAAAGAAAAGCAGCAGGUUAAUACCCCGCUGUUCUGACGGUACCCAAAGAAUAAGCACCGGCUAACUUCGUG
This 492-nucleotide ribosomal RNA is filed under the name uncultured bacterium. RNAcentral's name for it is "partial 16S ribosomal RNA". It matches the Rfam family "Bacterial small subunit ribosomal RNA", at positions 29 to 507 of the family's 1533-position model. The record is from RNAcentral.